Molecule: long non-coding RNA, 2006 nt
Filed under: Felis catus (domestic cat)
Lineage: Eukaryota; Metazoa; Chordata; Mammalia; Carnivora; Felidae
Description: lncRNA (ENSFCAG00000052222.1)
Source: RNAcentral
CAGCUGUGCAAUUAGCCGUGUCAUCUGUAGGUGAAAUUCAACACCUCAAAGAGGCAAUAAUUCAAGGUAUCAGUCCACACUUGUUGCUUCCGGAGUUGGUCAUAGCCUCUUAAGAGAAAAGGUGAGCCAUCUCAAGAAUGAAAUAUCUGGCUAUGUGUGGGAGCAAUCAGAGAAAAGAACCAAGAAGAACAGCAACUGUGAAACUCUGAAUCAAGCCUCCUGGAAGGGGUCCUAUUCCCUUUCUGUGCCUUCACGCAGAUGGCUUCAGGAUGCCAUCCUCACGCUGCCCUCCACCUGACGCCCUGCUUGUGGGGGAGGAGGGCAAAAGGAGGAACACGAACAGUUGCAAUUGUAAUUGUGGACCUUCAGUGAUGGUGUCUCCCCAGCAGCAAACCAGAUGCUGUAUCUCACCCCUGUGCAGGCAGGUUGAGCGAGAGGGGCUUUUCUGCUCCAGUAUUCUCUCCUCCAUCCCGACAGCAGGCUCUUUCUUGUCCCCGGUGCCCCAGGGUGGGCCUGUCAGCCGCCCCAGUCACGUGAGCUGGCCCCAGAAGCUUCUCCUCUCCGUGACAGCAGUCCUUGGAGUCACCCUGACCUCUAGCCAGGGGCUCCAGGGUCACAUUUGUGGCACAGGCCUCCCCCCAAGCACCUCAGUAAGGUGGUUGCACUUUGUGAGGAAGGGAGGCCCAGCUGGAGAGGAAAGGCGGGGAGCUCCGGGGCAGGGUGGCUGGAGGUGGGCAGUGCCUGGAAGUGUGCCAGAACAAACCGGGCCAAUCCUCUCCUGGGCACAAAGGACGCUCUGUGAGGGACACGCCCAGCCCCUGUGCAAUCAGGGAGGCUCACGUUUCUUACCACAGGGAGGCCCAUUCCCAGACGGGCUUGGGUGUGGCCUGUAGGCUGAACCCUGCUGGGUAGGGCCCUGUGGACUCCUGGUGACCCAUCUGGGUGACUUCAGUCCUCAUUAUGAUCUGGUCUGCUCACGAAGAUGGAGAGAGGCCUGGGCAGGCAGCUUAACAUCACAGGACAUGGGCAAUUGCCUCUUCGUCCUCUGGGAAAGAGACUUCCUAGGUCUACUCCCCACAACACACACACACACACACCACACACACACACACACACACACACUCUUUCUCAGACACAUAUACUCAUAUCCAUGCAAUCAUACACUCAGUCUAAAUGAGAGAAGAUCUCCAGCCAUACUUAGACUAGUCAAACAUGCUGUGCAGACAUUUGCCCCCACCCCCAAGUCAUUGUCACGGAGAAAGUAGACUAGGUCUCAAAGAAAUCAGGCUAGCAAGUAUGCAACAAGAACCACCGUACUGGCCACAGGCAUAAUUAUCGUUUUUUUCUUUAGAACUUGGAGUCUCUCCCUGCCACCAGGCACCUUCUCAUUGUGACUCUGCAUUGCAUGAAAGAAGGGAAGGGAAGGGGAGGGGAGGGGAGGGGAGGGGAGGGGAGGGGAGGGAAGGGAAGGGAAGGGAAGGGAAGGGAAGGGAGAAACUUUGGGGUAAGCAAAAUAGCAUGGAAGACAUAUUGAAAAGGUCCAUGCUGAUGUAUGUUUUAGCAGAACCUGAGGUUUAUCUGCGUGGCUAUGCCGUGCCGUGGUAAGGGAUGGGUCGGGAAGGUAUUUAAACCCUCACUGAGCCUCAUGGGUUUUAAAAUGAAAGAGUGCAAGUAGGAUUUCUAAAGUCUCUUCAGUAAUCAGUCCAGGCCUGAAAGCCACAAGGCCAGGCGGCCAUCCAUCAGAACCUGCUGCCCGCACAGGGCCUGAGACCCCGUCGCAUCACGGAGCUCUGCAGAUGUCUGGCAGGUGGGUUCCCUCCUGGACCACAGCUGAGCUGGAUGGUAAUGGAUAAAAUCGCCAUCGGUGAAGGUAGGACCUUUCUCUGUCUUGUAUGGCCUGAGCUGUGAACGAGGAAGAAGACACUCAUUUGUUGAACAUGUAUUUCUUUGGCACCAUCUAUGUGUCAGUAAAUAAACCAGAUAAAAUUGCCUGCUCCUGGGGGUUU